Molecule: ribosomal RNA, 1343 nt
Filed under: uncultured bacterium
Lineage: Bacteria
Description: 16S ribosomal RNA
Rfam family: Bacterial small subunit ribosomal RNA
Source: RNAcentral
GACGAACGCUGGCGGCGUGCUUAACACAUGCAAGUCGAACGGAAAGGCCCUGCUUUUGUGGGGUGCUCGAGUGGCGAACGGGUGAGUAACACGUGAGUAACCUGCCCUUGACUUUGGGAUAACUUCAGGAAACUGGGGCUAAUACCGGAUAGGAGCUCCUGCUGCAUGGUGGAGGUUGGAAAGUUUCGGCGGUUGGGGAUGGACUCGCGGCUUAUCAGCUUGUUGGUGGGGUAGUGGCUUACCAAGGCUUUGACGGGUAGCCGGCCUGAGAGGGUGACCGGCCACAUUGGGACUGAGAUACGGCCCAGACUCCUACGGGAGGCAGCAGUGGGGAAUAUUGCACAAUGGGCGGAAGCCUGAUGCAGCAACGCCGCGUGCGGGAUGACGGCCUUCGGGUUGUAAACCGCUUUCGCCUGUGACGAAGCGUGAGUGACGGUAAUGGGUAAAGAAGCACCGGCUAACUACGUGCCAGCAGCCGCGGUGAUACGUAGGGUGCGAGCGUUGUCCGGAUUUAUUGGGCGUAAAGGGCUCGUAGGUGGUUGAUCGCGUCGGAAGUGUAAUCUUGGGGCUUAACCCUGAGCGUGCUUUCGAUACGGGUUGACUUGAGGAAGGUAGGGGAGAAUGGAAUUCCUGGUGGAGCGGUGGAAUGCGCAGAUAUCAGGAGGAACACCAGUGGCGAAGGCGGUUCUCUGGGCCUUUCCUGACGCUGAGGAGCGAAAGCGUGGGGAGCGAACAGGCUUAGAUACCCUGGUAGUCCACGCUGUAAACGGUGGGUACUAGGUGUGGGGUCCAUUCCACGGGUUCCGUGCCGUAGCUAACGCUUUAAGUACCCCGCCUGGGGAGUACGGCCGCAAGGCUAAAACUCAAAGGAAUUGACGGGGCCCCGCACAAGCGGCGGAGCAUGCGGAUUAAUUCGAUGCAACGCGUAGAACCUUACCUGGGUUUGACAUGGAUCGGGAGUGCUCAGAGAUGGGUGUGCCUCUUUUGGGGUCGGUUCACAGGUGGUGCAUGGCUGUCGUCAGCUCGUGUCGUGAGAUGUUGGGUUAAGUCCCGCAACGAGCGCAACCCUUGUUCACUGUUGCCAGCACGUUAUGGUGGGGACUCAGUGGAGACCGCCGGGGUCAACUCGGAGGAAGGUGGGGAUGACGUCAAGUCAUCAUGCCCCUUAUGUCCAGGGCUUCACGCAUGCUACAAUGGCUGGUACAGAGAGUGGCGAGCCUGUGAGGGUGAGCGAAUCUCGGAAAGCCGGUCUCAGUUCGGAUUGGGGUCUGCAACUCGACCUCAUGAAGUCGGAGUCGCUAGUAAUCGCAGAUCAGCAACGCUGCGGUGAAUACGUUCCCGGG